UACGGGAGGCGGCAGUGGGGAAUGGUGUACAAUGGGAGCAAGCGUGAUGCAGCGACGCCGCGUGAGGGAUGAGGGCAUUCGGUUUGUAAACUUAUUUUAUCAGGGAAGAGGGGAAAGUGACGGUACCUGCAGAAAAAGCGCCGGCUAAAUACGUGCCAGCAGCCGCGGUAAUACGUAGGGGGCGAGCGUUUUCUGGAAUUAUUGGGCGUAAAGAGCUCGUAGGCGGUUUGUCGCGUUUGCUGUGAAAACCCGGGGGUCAACCCCGGGUGUGCAGUGGGUACGGGCAGACUUGAGUGCGGUAGGGGAGAAGGGAAUUCCUGGUGUAGCGGUGGAAUGCGCAGAUAUCAGGAGGAACACCCAUGGGGAAGGCGGGUCUUUGGGCCUUAACUGACGCUGAGGAGCGAAAAGGUGGGGAGCAAACAGGGUUAGAUACCCCGGUAGUCCCCCCCGUAAACGUUGGGCACUAGGUGUGGGGGGCAUUCCACGCAUUCCGUGCCGCAGCUAACGCA
Molecule: ribosomal RNA, 509 nt
Filed under: uncultured Actinomycetes bacterium
Lineage: Bacteria; Bacillati; Actinomycetota; Actinomycetes
Description: uncultured actinobacterium partial 16S ribosomal RNA
Rfam family: Bacterial small subunit ribosomal RNA
Source: RNAcentral